RNAcentral lists this non-coding RNA (25 nucleotides) under Rattus norvegicus (Norway rat). The record is from RNAcentral. Lineage: Eukaryota; Metazoa; Chordata; Mammalia; Rodentia; Muridae.
UGGAGACUACUAACGGCCCUCCUGA